Molecule: non-coding RNA, 1392 nt
Organism: Musa acuminata subsp. malaccensis (wild Malaysian banana)
Lineage: Eukaryota; Viridiplantae; Streptophyta; Magnoliopsida; Zingiberales; Musaceae
Source: RefSeq, a predicted model, not a curated record
CCUCAUAAGGCAUGUAGAAAGUUCCAUGAUAAGUAGAAUUUGAAUUGUUCUUAUAUAAUUUAUAGUUUUCUAUUGAGUUUUACCUACGAUGAAAAGUGCUUAGCUUUGGUCAGGUAAGAUGGUUUAAUCUUCUAUAUAGUUCUGGUAUUACUUCGUUUUGUUGCAUUUUCUUUGUUACCUGUUGGACCAAAUUGACAGAUGCUGUGAUACAUAUUCAUCUGGGAUUUCGGUUGAGUAGCUUGAAUCUUGUAUCUUCUGAUUAAAUUGCAAAUGGAUCUUGUAAAAAUGGUGGAAGAGGAUUUUACAUGUUGAUUUACUAGUUUGUUUACUAACAAUCUGUUUGGAACUCAAAGUCUUCAUUGUGUGUUAGCUUGCUCAGAUCCUUUGUUAACUUGAGUUUGCAGUUGUUUAUCAUGUUCCAUGUAUCUUCUUUUCUUGGUGCUCCAGUUUAUGAUCAUCAGUGGCAUUCAUAGAAAUCAAUAUAUGUUUUUGUUAGUUCGUUCUUAUUAACUAUUUUUAGUUGGCAUGUUCAAAGGGAAAUUUCAGGAAUACUCUGGUCAAAUUGCGGUGGAUAAAUAGCCACUAUUCUGGGGAUCAAUAAGAUGCAGGAUUUGAAGGAAUUCUUCAGAUCCUAUGUAUUCAUCAAAUCAUGUGGAUAUAUUUGUUCAGCAUUUCUAACCGAGUAGGUUUUCAGAAUGUUGCACUCAGCAACUUCCAACAUACAAGGAACACAAGAAUCAAGGAUUUUUAUCCCAAUCUCUUGGUAGAAAGCACACAUCCUGAGAUGAAUCAUCUCUGGAGUUUUCUACAGACGAUUUGUUCCAGCUAAAAGGCAGUGUACCAACACUUGGAUAUUUUGUUUCUCAAUUGCUCAAUUUUUUGAUGCAUCGAGUAUUCCUAGUUUGUCAUGUAUUUUGUAUGACUUUCUUUUCAAAAUAACAGCUUAUAUAAUGAUUCGCAUACCACACACGAAACACCUCUCUGCUUCAUCUAAAUCCUUGAACAAUAUAUUCUCAGACUCUUUUUGUUCAAUAAUAGGUGCUAGAUAUAUAUAAAAAAAAUUAGUUUAUCAUCUUCCUUGACCUUUUAGUGUAGUUUUUGUUUGUGAACUUGAAGUAUAUAAAAAUGCACUUAACAUUAUCUUUGUUAUUUUCUUGACUAUUCAUUGAUUUGUUCAGGUUGUCUGGCAGAAGUGAGUUAGAUAUCAGCUACAGUUUCUCAUGCAAAGGUGUACCAGGAUGCCGGACAGACGUUUCCAAGUUUCUGAUGAAGUUUAAAUCGACCGACUAAUUUUGUAAACUUAUGAGCUUUCUGUCAUUUCUUUUGUUAUAGCCUUUUCCGCUACCUAGCUGCAGGAUCUUAUCAUAGCGUGAGAUCGACCUGGUGAUGCCU